Molecule: transfer RNA, 74 nt
Filed under: Phycisphaerae bacterium
Lineage: Bacteria; Pseudomonadati; Planctomycetota; Phycisphaerae
Description: tRNA-Val
Rfam family: tRNA
About the family: Transfer RNA (tRNA) molecules are approximately 80 nucleotides in length. Their secondary structure includes four short double-helical elements and three loops (D, anti-codon, and T loops).
Source: RNAcentral
GGGCGUUUAGCUCAGUUGGCUAGAGCAUCGCUUUUACACAGCGAGGGUCACUGGUUCGAGUCCAGUAACGCCCA